AUUGAACGCUGGCGGCAUGCUUUACACAUGCAAGUCGAACGGUAACAGGCCUUCGGGUGCUGACGAGUGGCGAACGGGUGAGUAAUGCAUCGGAACGUGCCCAAUCGUGGGGGAUAACGUAGCGAAAGUUACGCUAAUACCGCAUAAGCCCUGAGGGGGAAAGUGGGGGACCGCAAGGCCUCACGCGAAUGGAGCGGCCGAUGUCAGAUUAGCUAGUUGGUGGGGUAAAGGCCCACCAAGGCGACGAUCUGUAGCGGGUCUGAGAGGAUGAUCCGCCACACUGGGACUGAGACACGGCCCAGACUCCUACGGGAGGCAGCAGUGGGGAAUUUUGGACAAUGGGCGCAAGCCUGAUCCAGCCAUGCCGCGUGCGGGACGAAGGCCUCGGU
Molecule: ribosomal RNA, 389 nt
Filed under: uncultured bacterium
Lineage: Bacteria
Description: bacterial SSU rRNA
Rfam family: Bacterial small subunit ribosomal RNA
Source: RNAcentral